This 290-nucleotide unclassified non-coding RNA is filed under the name fungal sp. Its description in RNAcentral is "partial internal transcribed spacer region". The stretch from base 1 to 46 matches the Rfam family "Eukaryotic small subunit ribosomal RNA", at positions 1786 to 1831 of the family's 1831-position model. Lineage: Eukaryota; Fungi. The record is from RNAcentral.
AAGUCGUAACAAGGUUUCCGUAGGUGAACCUGCGGAAGGAUCAUUAUCGAGGGGGGGCUUUGCCCCCCAAAGGAUGUAGGCCAGCUUGAAGUGUAGUCGUUUGGCCGUCUUUUCUGGAGCAAACGUUACUUGGAUGGCUGGUUGCUACCAUUCCGCACCCCCUGUCUAUGAGUACUCUUGUUUCCUCGGCAGGCUUGCUUGCCAAUGAGGACCCAUUAACCCUUUUUUUGUGUUGUCGUAACCGUAACAAACAAUAAUCAAAACUUUCAACAACGGAUCUCUUGGUUCUG